This 83-nucleotide transfer RNA is filed under the name Amanita muscaria Koide BX008. It matches the Rfam family "tRNA". Rfam says of the family: Transfer RNA (tRNA) molecules are approximately 80 nucleotides in length. Their secondary structure includes four short double-helical elements and three loops (D, anti-codon, and T loops). Lineage: Eukaryota; Fungi; Basidiomycota; Agaricomycetes; Agaricales; Amanitaceae. The record is from Rfam by way of RNAcentral.
GCCCUCUUAGCUCAGUGGUAGAGCGCACCACUCGUAUUGUUGCGAUAAUGGUGAGGUCAGUCGUUCAAUCCGGCUAGCGGGCA